RNAcentral lists this ribosomal RNA (247 nucleotides) under uncultured bacterium. RNAcentral's name for it is "partial 16S ribosomal RNA". It matches the Rfam family "Bacterial small subunit ribosomal RNA", at positions 525 to 771 of the family's 1533-position model. The record is from RNAcentral.
ACGUAUGGUGCAAGCGUUAUCCGGAUUUACUGGGUGUAAAGGGAGCGUAGACGGAGUGGCAAGUCUGAUGUGAAAACCCGGGGCUCAACCCCGGGACUGCAUUGGAAACUGUCAAUCUAGAGUACCGGAGAGGUAAGCGGAAUUCCUAGUGUAGCGGUGAAAUGCGUAGAUAUUAGGAGGAACACCAGUGGCGAAGGCGGCUUACUGGACGGUAACUGACGUUGAGGCUCGAAAGCGUGGGGAGCAA